This 77-nucleotide transfer RNA is filed under the name Amylibacter sp. Its description in RNAcentral is "tRNA-Arg". It matches the Rfam family "tRNA". Rfam says of the family: Transfer RNA (tRNA) molecules are approximately 80 nucleotides in length. The record is from RNAcentral. Lineage: Bacteria; Pseudomonadati; Pseudomonadota; Alphaproteobacteria; Rhodobacterales; Paracoccaceae.
GGCUCUGUGGCUCAACUGGAUAGAGUAGCCCCCUCCUAAGGGGCAGGUUGGUGGUUCGAAUCCACCCAGGGUCACCA